AGAGGUGGAGAUGAAUCCACUCACCCAGGGGAACAGCUGUGCCCAGGAAACAGUCAGGAACCCCUGCUGCCGGGACGCCCAGAGCCCCGGGUCCUGACACUUGGCUGUUAACCUCUUCCUCGAUCAUGCGGGGGACCCAGUAUUAGUCUAACGCUUUUCUCCCUUCAGCUUGGCAGUGCUGGUGCGGGUUGCUUGUAACCCGAGCACUCUGACACUGCCAGGCAGGGUGCUAUGUGCUUUAUAUGGGAAUGUCUUUAAUUUUGUGCUCAUAACAUCCUUGAGAGGAAGAUACCAUGAUCUCACGUUACGCACAAGAGGCCGUCGAGGUUAGAGUCGCUUACUCACCGACACACCGCCAACAAGGGAUGAAGCGUGAUGAGGACCUCACUGGAUGCCAGGAGCCAGGCUCCUCCAGCUCACAGACAAGCAGAGGUGACCAUAACAUCCCAUGAAGGACCUGAAGGUCUCUCAGAUCCAGGGAAACAGGAACUCGGAACUUGGCCUGUUUCUGUCGGAGAGCAAACUGUGUGAUGCCCAGCAGCCCCCUGAAGUAAUAUAAGGUGCCCGUGGGGCACGGCUGACACAUGGCGUGUCCUAUUUCCAGGGGACAACUUCCAGAGGCUGGCUUUCCAGGUUCACAGGACACACCUUCUGAGUGGUUACUGCAGCAGCUGGGACCUUCUCCUGCUCCUCCUGGCUGAACCAGAGACAAGUCACAUCACUACACUGACUUUGUUAAGGAGGUCUCUGCCUCAGGUUAGGAACCUCCAGGGAGGGUUUGGCGCCGUCCUCUCAGGCUGAUUAUUUGAGAUUUAUGUCUUGAAACGCCAAACUGCAUGUUUAAUCUGUCAUCCAAGCAGACUGUCAGAUCCAGAAAUGACAAGAUUUAACACACAGUAUUUCAUGCCCAAGACUAACAGCAAAAGCUGCAGAGUGUCUCCCCACAUUCAAAGUAAACACGACGUGCUAACGGGUGGUUUUUCCUCUCUCACCAAAUAAUUACUGGUUUCUUCUUACUAAAAACAAAUUAUUUUAUUUCACUUCAGAAGACUAUGAUUAAUUGUACAAAAUUACACUUGUCUUUAAUUGAA
Molecule: long non-coding RNA, 1091 nt
Organism: Balaenoptera acutorostrata (minke whale)
Lineage: Eukaryota; Metazoa; Chordata; Mammalia; Artiodactyla; Balaenopteridae
Exons: 2
Source: RefSeq, a predicted model, not a curated record